RNAcentral lists this ribosomal RNA (756 nucleotides) under uncultured bacterium. RNAcentral describes it as "bacterial SSU rRNA". It matches the Rfam family "Bacterial small subunit ribosomal RNA", at positions 28 to 757 of the family's 1533-position model. The record is from RNAcentral.
AAUGAACGCUGGCGGCGUGCGUAACACAUGCAAGUCGAACGAGAAAUUCCGGGCUUGCUCGGGAGAGUAAAGUGGCGAACGGGUGAGUAACGCGUGGGUAACCUGCCCCUGAAUCUGGAAUAACUUCGCGAAAGCGAGGCUAAUACCGGAUAUUGUCCCAGGGACUAUGGUCCUUGUGAUGAAAGAUGACCUCUUCACGAAAGUUGUCGUUCAGGGAGGGGCCCGCGUACCAUUAGCUAGUUGGUAGGGUAAUGGCCUACCAAGGCAAUGAUGGUUAGCUGGUCUGAGAGGAUGACCAGCCACACUGGCACUGAAACACGGGCCAGACUCCUACGGGAGGCAGCAGUGAGGAAUUUUGCGCAAUAGGGGAAACCCUGACGCAGCAACGCCGCGUGAGCGAAGAAGGCCCUCGGGUCGUAAAGCUCUGUCAAGUGGGAAAAAAGCUUGUUGGUAAAUAGCCUGCAAGACUGAUGGUACCAUUGAAGGAAGCACCGGCUAACUCCGUGCCAGCAGCCGCGGUAAUACGGAGGGUGCAAGCGUUGUUCGGAAUUACUGGGCGUAAAGGGCGUGUAGGCGGUGUGGUAAGUCAGAUGUGAAAGCCCUGGGCUUAACCCAGGAAGUGCAUUUGAAACUGCCAUGCUUGAGUAUGGGAGAGGAGAGUGGAAUUCCCAGUGUAGAGGUGAAAUUCGUAGAUAUUGGGAGGAACACCCGUGGCGAAGGCGACUCUCUGGACCAAUACUGACGCUGAGGCGCGAA